CUGUGUUUGUUUUUGGUCUGUGUUUGUUUUUUGUUGUUCGCUCCUUUCACUGCAGGUCAUUUCUCUGCUCAGCGCUGGUAGACAGUAUCAGCUAUUUUCCUACCUGCUCAGGGGGGGUGCCUGCCACAUCCAGGGAGGAGCUUGGCACCAGUGUGGGGGGGUCACUAGCUGCACCUUUUCCUGGAGCGGUUGAUGAGAAUCCAGUGGUGUCUCUUGUGACUUUGGCCUGAAAAUUAUUUCUUUUGUAUACUUUUGCACCCUAGCAAAGUAGUGGGUGCUUUUAUUAUUUUCUUUUGAUACUUUGUGCACUAGUAAAUUGGUGUGUGCCUUGUGUUUUUUUUAUUUUUAUUUUUGGUAACCCCUGGUACUACCGAAAUGAUAUUAUCAUAUUUCAAUGAUUUUAUAAGGAUAAUAAACAUUGUUUAUUGCGAAA
Acipenser ruthenus (sterlet) is the source of this 433-nucleotide long non-coding RNA. RefSeq lists it as uncharacterized. The transcript has 2 exons. The record is from RefSeq and is a predicted model, not a curated record. NCBI's taxonomy places the organism in Eukaryota, Metazoa, Chordata, Actinopteri, Acipenseriformes, Acipenseridae.